Molecule: long non-coding RNA, 13336 nt
Filed under: Ananas comosus (pineapple)
Lineage: Eukaryota; Viridiplantae; Streptophyta; Magnoliopsida; Poales; Bromeliaceae
Description: long non-coding RNA (ACOM_LNC035398)
Source: RNAcentral
ACUCACGAACCUCGCUGGAUCCGGAGGUAGUGGAGGUCUCGACCUCCUCGAAGUUUGCCGCAUUGUCCGCCUCGGCAGAUUGGGAGCGAGUAAUCGGCAUCGUCACUACAACAUCAUAAAAGCGCAAGUUAGAAAUACUCACACUAUCGCAUCCCCGCUCAAAAGACAAACCCUAAAUCAUGCGAAAGUAAAGAAGUGUUCUACACUACUAACUCCCGAUGUUACGUUGUCGGCCGCCAACGUAACGCUCCGCGAGGUUAGAAGUGAAACACUCCGAUUUAACUCCACUUUCUAGAGUUAUCCAAGAUACCCAAUUCAAAUACUUUCGCUUACAAGUCAAAUAGACCUCGUCUCUCACAAGCCUAUUUCCUAUAGUCCAACCGGCCUAAGGUCUGCUAGGUCCCCUAAGACUCAACCCUAGGCUCUGAUACCAAAUUAAUCUGUCACGCCUCGGGACCGAGCGAAAGCCCGCCCGGCGCGUGCCCAGACCCGCCAUACGUCUAAAACAUAUAAGGCGUCUAAAAACAACAAUAAUAAAAGCAAUAAUAAAAGACAUCUAGGAGUAUCAGAGCAUAAUAAAUGUCAAAAUGCUACAACCCGGGAUAAGGAUAAAACUGUAAAUCCACUAAAUAAAACAUAAAGUGAUACGAGGAAAUCCCAGAUACAAGUGCUAUAGGUAGAUACAUAGGUGGUCUCUAUACAUGGAUUCCAAAAACCUCUAACUCUCUUAACUACAAAAAGAAAGAGUAAACCACCUAGGCAAAGUACCGCUCCUCGCUAGCGAGCUAAGCGAUCCCCUUGCCGCGAUCCCGUGCCUCCGCCGGUGCCGAAGGCUCUAAAAAGUAAACCAUAAAACAGGGGCAUGGGAACUAUUAAAAAUAGUUCCCAGUGGGCAAUUACUGACUUCAGUGAAUGCACCACGAUGCCCAAAGCUACAAAAGAUGUCAGUGACUAUAAAAGUAGAAAAAGCGAAAGGUAAAUAAAAAUGUAACUUACUACAACAUGAUAUCUCUACUUAGCAUAAUUAGCAUAAGUAUGAAGCAACUAUGCAUGAAGUAAAAGUCUCCAACUAUCAUAAUGUUCAUAAUGCGAAAUAGUAAAGUUCUGUUGUUUACUAUUCUAGUCAAUGUCCAAGUAGUACACUAAGUCAUCAUCUGUCCACAUGUCAUAAUGAAUACUCAAAGUCAAAUAUGAAGAGACCCACCCGAAGGCUGUCUAUGGCCCUAAGACCCACCCGUAGGCUGUCUGGCCGGUGCCGAGCUUAAUGGCCCCUUGGUAGUCAUCAUCCCCACCCUAAGAAUGAGCCUGUCCCACGGCAAUCCACUUCGGCGCCCAAUCCUAUACGGCGAAUAUGAAUCGCGAUGGCUAUCUCCGAAGUGCCGGCUUGUAUGGAGCGACCCUCACAAGCAUGUGCGAAUGAGUACAAUGGGAAGUAGGCAAAUGAUCUGUCGCAAGUACCAAGUCCUCAUGUCUAAUAACAUGGAAUGUGUCAAGUAUCUCAACGGCCUAUCCCUAUGUCAUCAUGUCUCUAACAUGGAAUGUAGCGGAUAAGUAGUGGCCUAUCAAUAUGUCUCUAUGUUGCAGUUUCAUAGUUUACUAGUUUCAAGUGCCCCUUGAUGACACUCUUGUUCUCUAUGCCAGAGUAUGGCAACUAUGUUCUAAAGUACAUAUUCCAAGUCAUAAUCCUCAUAAGUGAUGUAUUUUCCACUUGCAAAUAAACACUUUUUCCAUAUGCAUGCAUUCUACUCAUAUAGCUCUACUAUAUAGUGAAAUUUUUAAAAUACACAAGGCAUGCAUUUUAAGUGCUCUAAAAUUCAUAUAAAUUCUAUUUAGCAUAGAAAUAAAUUUAAAAAUAUUUUACAACAAAUAGAAAGAGCAUAGGGGCCAUUUCGCCCUAUUUCCACGAAGCCAAACCCACCGUCAUCAACGAAAGCUUUCGUUUGCCACGACGAAGGCGUCCAUCACACUCCUAGUACCCUAAAGGUAUGAAAACAAGUGUCAUCUAGUCGAAACGAAUGACGCUAAGUUCAAUCAUUAACCAACUCAAGUUAGGGUUGGGAAAAACUCACCUCAAGUGAAAAACCCUCUUAAUCUUCAAAUGGAAGGUAGGGGUCUUCUAAUCUAACCUAUAUAAAGGUUCCAAACCCAUCAAAAAGGUUUCAAAGCCCUCAAAUGAAAAAGCCCCAAAUCUAACCCUAGAAUCCCAAUCUAGGGUUUCAUCUAGUAAAACUUAGAAAAACAUGUAUCAAGUAGGGAUUACAUGCUACCAACCUCAAGAGGAGCUUCAAUCCAAGCCCAAAACCAAGUAGGGUUGAAGUUUGAUCCUCCACAAAGCUCCAACCGCAAGCUCGAAGCCACCAAGGUGAGAAAAUGGGGAGAAGAUGAUGCUCCAAAGCCUCCAUGUCACGCCCCGGGACCAGCAGGGGCCUUCCCGGUAGCGUGCCAAGACCUGCCAUAUGUCAACACAUAUAAGGCGUCUAUAGUAAAAGCGGAAGUAAAAGCAAGAGAUAGAACAAUAAAAAGAAGCAAAUAUAACAAGCAACUAAUGAUAUCAGAGCGAGUAAAGUUCUAUCAUCUACAUCAAAGUAAAGAAAUAAAGCUAAACAAAAAGAAACCAUAAGUAGUACAAUAUCUGUCUCUAGUACAAAAAUGGUGGUCUCUAUACACUGGCAAAACCCUCAACCUCUCGCCAAAAAGUAAAUAUCGAGAGGCAGACCACCUAGCAACUCGUCCUCGCAGGAAGCUAGCUCGAAGCAACUCCCUUCCCGCGAUCCCUGGCCUCAUCUUGCAUGGAAGGCUCUGAAAAACAUCGAGAAAAAGAGAGCGUGAGAAUUAUAAUUUAUAGUUCCCAGUGGGCAAUUACUGAGCUCAGCUCUAUGCACCACUAGGCCCCAAAAGAAAAGGGUAAGUAACGACAUAUAGUAAUAUGCAAUAAAUAGCGAACACAAAAACUGCUGAAAGAAAGUAUGAAUGAAAUGCUAUACUACCAUGUCUCCAAUAUGCAUGAUGUUAUUGUAAUAUACCGAAAAUUCGGAAAAUAAAUAUCGAACUUUGGUCAAAUAGACCAAAGUGCGAGGAUGGUACACUUCGGAAAGCCCGAAGGUGUUAAAAUGACUAAAAGUGAGUUUCGGGAGGUUUUCGAGAGCUAAAAUUGUGAAAUCUGCAUUUUGCAGGUUUUCAGCUCUCGGGGACCGGUCCCUGGUGGGAGAGACCGGUCCCCGAACGCGUAUGAAGUGAGAUCAGCGAAAAUUAGCUAAUCCUGACUACUCGGGAACCGUCCCUCCCGAGAGACCGGUCCCACACUGGAGAGACCGGUUGCACUGCGCGCAUCAGCUGUCUGGCUGCGCUGAACACGUUCGGAACCGUCCCGUGAAAAGGAGAGACCGGUCCGCAAUGGCAGCGAACUGCGCCAGUUCGGUCAUGUAUAAAGUGACAGUUGAGGGUUUAGCUGCAAUUUGCACCAAUGAGUAUAGUAUUGGUAAAUGAGACAUCUCUCUCAUUUCUCACGGCUCCUUCACACUCUUUUUGCUCUCCCUCUCUCUCUCUAGAAGACAAAGGAGAAGAAGAAGAAAAGGAAGAAAGAAGGAAAAGAAGGGAAGAAAGUGAAGAAGAAAGACAAGAGAAGAAGAAAACCUCUCUCUCCUUCUCUAAGCCCUUGGAAAAGGAGGCAAAGUUAAGAGGUAAGCUUGCCCGGCUUGCUCAUGCUAAAACUCCAAACUAGGGUUUGGUAAUUAACCUAGAAAUGGUUUUGAUGGGUGAUUAGAGUCCCUUGGAAGCUUUUCUUACUUUAAAAGAGAUCAAAACCUAGAAUUGCUUUAGAGGUGAGCUUGGACCCACCUCUAAUCGGUGAAAUCUAAUCUGAGGGUUUUAGAAAAGCCUACAGAAAUGGUUCAAUGGACUUAUUUAGAGUAUAGUGAAGCUACUUUGCUUCCCAAAGUAGAUCAAACUUAGGUUUUGAUAUAGUCAUGGAGCAAUGGCACCCAAUUGGGCUUUUGCUCAUGAGGGUUUUAAGUGCAAUUGACCCUCCAGAACCUAAUUGGGGGUAUUUCGCGACGGCGUUGGUGCGCUCGGAUUACGUUACGAAAAGUCAAAGUCAAAGUUAUUGAGCACAAAUAGGCCUAAUAAGGGUUCGUUUUGUGCUGCAGGUAAAGAACGAAGCAUCUACAAAAAUUCCAAGAAAAUCGUGGCACACUUUGAAAGCCCUACGAGGUCGGUGGCCGCUUCUCAAACUCAUUGGAACUUCUAUCUAUGCGCGCUAAUGUUCUCAUUGUGAGGCAUAUGUUACAUAUUUGUUGCAUGCAUUUAGGGUAAGUAUGAUGAAAAUGUAAUGAUUGCAUGAUUGUGAGUACAACUUGCAUAAUAUAUGAAUGAGAAACUAUGUAUUGUCAAACCCUACAGUGUAUGCAUGAGAGAAAAGUGAGCACACCAUAAGUGAAGCUAAAGAACAAGAGUGGCAGCAAUGACAUAGACGAGUGGCAUUUCGAUAAAGCUAAUGUGAAAUGAUCACUAGAGUUAGUGUGAUGUAAAGAACUAAAGUGACCGUGAAGAAUGAUGAAAUUGACAAUUGUAAAGUUAAAGUAAAGUGGGCAAUAAGAAACAAGAAUGCUAAGUUAGCAAGAGUAAAGGAAAUUAAAAGAAUGUGAGUGCAUGAGUUUGCAACGUAAAGUGAUGUAAAGAACACUAGAGUCUAGUUAAAGUCAAGAUUAACUUAUAAAUCCUGAGUUAAGGAUAAUGUAUCAUCCUUGGCUAUGAGUUCCGUGCUCGAGGCAGUCGCUCCUCCCUCGGCGAUGCGCUCCGGAGUUAUGCAUCAGGGUUGGAGUAAACCCGAAGGACGGUCCGUAGCUGGUGAGUCCUGCGAUGAUGGACUUAAUGUGAAACACAGUCAGUGUGGCGAAAACCCCCGGUUAGCCUUGAGAUUAAAGACAAAGAACCAAGAGCAAAAGAAUAAAGAACAAGCACAAAGUAAAAGUCAAGAAGAACAAAUAGAAUUUGCAUAACCUGCAUUAUUUAAAUGUGUAGCAUAACAUUCUUGCUAUUCGUAGGGCAUAUUAACAUCAUGUUAUAGACAUUGUUAGCUAUAUCUACUUAUCCUUUCUAUUAUGCCUGAGUUAGGUCGUAAGUGGAAAGUCGGUGAUGUGUUGAGGCCCGAACCGACUGGAACUUUGUUGUAGUUUCCUCACCCCACUAAAUUUCACAGAGCCGGGACCGGAGCGAGCCGGCGAGCGACCGAGGUAAAGGUAUCGCGCCUUAGUCAGAGGCCACCAAAGUUGGAUUUCGUUUUGUAGUAAAGUACCCUAUGAUCAUCUUUUGUAUUUGAUGAUUCUGAAUGUUAAUGUAUAAGACAAAGAAAAGGAUGUAAUGUGUAUUUUGAGGUAAAAGUGAUGUAAGAAAGAAAUGAUGGAGUGAUGUAAUGAAAUGCAAAGAAUCCAAAAUGUAAGUUAUGAAAGCAUGUAUAUGAUCAAAAAUGAAUCAUAGUACAAGUGAAUGUUUAGUUUCCUUUUUCUUUCACUAAUGGCUAUUGCUUACCCUCGUGUAAGCCGUUUAUGUAUGUUUCCGCUAGUGCUUUUCUCUAUUGAUGAAAAUGUGCAUGUGAUGAGCCUUGGGCGGAUAGGGGAAACUCUGUCCGUUCGGCGUCUGUUUGACGUGCUCGGGUCGGGCCAAAUUGGUAUCGGUCCCGGGGCGUGACAGUUAUGGUGAUGUACAUCUACGCUAUCAUAAGGUAACAUAUCCAAUGCAUACCAAUAUGCCUCCACAUAAUGAACAAGUAAACCUCACAAUUCCAUAAGCCAAAAUAUAAGGAGUACGCUCUAUCAAGUAACCCAGUAUACUAUGAUGCAAUGCAUGAAACCGGCAAGUGUACUAUAUACCCCAUUGCUAUGUCAUGAGUAUGUCACCUAAUCCAACUACUAAGCCUAUCUAGUAGCGAUUAUUCAGUCUCAACACCGUAUCGAUUUCCAUUUCCAAUCAAGGACCUACCAAAGGUAGUCCAGCUUGUGCCGCCUAAGUGCCUGUGGUAGCCCAACAUCCCUACUCUUGGAAUGUGUCUGUCCCACUCGACCCCGUAGGCUUCUCAAUACCGCACGAGCGAACAUAGGUCGCGUAGGCUAACUCCGGAGUGCCGGCUUGUAGGGAGCGACCCUCACAAGCAUGUGCGAAUGAGCACAAUUGGCAAGCAAGCAUAGUCAACGUCUCAAAUACCCAAUCAUCAUGUCUCUAACAUGGCAAUAUUCACUAGCAUCUCGAAGAUCUAGUUCUAGGUCACAAUGUGAAAUUCUAAUAUUCACUAAGUCUAGUGCCCCUUUAUGACACUUAGACAUUUCGAUGAACAAGCACACUCCAACUCUCUCAAUGGCACUAUCUACUAAAUUCACACAUAACCCGAGCUCAAUGCCCCUUUAUGACAUUAGCCCAAUUGUACACAAGUAGUGCAAAUCCCCGAGCCCCUUUAUGGCUCACUAGGAACUUUUGAAUCUUAAAUAGAAAUAACUUUAAAUGCAUGCACGAGAUGCUCGUUUUCACCAUAGGAAUUAUGAUUCCAAGUCUCAAUAGGAUGCUAAACCUGUUCAAGUUCCACAUGCUAGCUCUCUACUACAUAGAGGUCCGAAAUUUUCACCACAUGUAACGUAGGCAAAUUAAGCCUUCUAAAAAUCAUAAUAAAUGUAUCUAGCAUGGAAAUGCAUGAAUAAACAUUUAACAGUACUCAAAUCAACACCAAUGAGAUUUUCUCAUUGUGUGGCUAGGCCAAACCCACCGAACCGUCGCGUGCUCCUUCGAUUCGCCGAACGGAGUUGUCCACGAGUCUCAAAGUACCCUAAAAGUGAUCAGCGAAGAGAUACGAGGGCAUUACGACCAACCAUAAGAUCAAACAUUAACCUAGAAGCAAAAAGGGCCAAAACUCACCUCAAGAGAAGAAAUCUCUUCCAAAGCUCCAAAAGAGAGCUAGAACCCUUCCAAUCCAAGCCCAAGGAAGGUUCUAAACCAAUUAAUCUAGCCUCAAAAGCCCUAGAUCAAAAAGCCCCAAAAUAAGCCUUUAAUCUCCAUUCUAAGGUUCCAUCUACAAAAACUUUCAAAAUAAGAUCUAGAGGAGGGAAAUGAGCAACGAACCUCCUUAGAAGCUCCAAUCCUGGCUCCAAGGGUGAAGAUCUCCUCCUAUGCAAGCUCCAAGACCAAGCCUUCAAGCACCAACAAGGUGGGAAGAGGAAGAAAGGCAAAAGAAUGCUCCAAGCCCAAGCUAGAUCCUCCUCUUCUUCUCCUCCUUCCUCUCCUUCUCCUUCUUCUUCUUCUUCUUCUCUAUCAAGGGUGUAGAAAGGGUUGAGAGAAGAGAAAUGGGGAGAGGAGAGAGUGGAUGGGUCAUAUAAAACCCUCUAAUGUAACAAAAUCCCAAGAGGCCCCUCAAAAAAAUAGUAUUACAUCAGCCCGGUCUGGGCAGUUUUCGUCCAGAGGGACCGGUCUCUCCCCAGCAGGGACCGGUCUCUCGCUGCGAAUCUAAAAAACCAGCAUUCGGGAACCGGUCUCUCCCUGCGAAGACGCGCUCGGGGACCGGUCUCGCCUGCCAGGGACCGGUUGGCUCAGGGUUGCCGCAGCACUGCUCACUGGGGGACCGGUCUCUCCUUCCAGGGACCGGUCCCCGAGAGUAAAAACUCUCAGGACUGUCCAGAAUCCCAGUUUCGAACUUUUUAGGUCGACAAGCAUUCUACAACCCUCCACCAAGUGUGAAAAAGCUCGAAAUACAUCCAAACACUCGAACCUCGCAAUUUGCAAAGGUUCAGUGUGUUACAUUCACCCCUCCUAAAAAGGAGUUUCGUCCGCGAAACUCGUGAUGACAAGUACCUCAAGCCUCCAUCUGAAAAAGAUGCGGAUAGCGCUCCCUCAGUGCGCUUUCCAGCUCCCAAGUGGCCUCGCGCUCGUCGUGGUUGCUCCAAAGCACCUUCACGUAGGGAAUCUCACGGUUCCGUAAUCUCUUUACUUCGCGAGCCAAAAUCCGCAAAGGUUGCUCCUGAAAGCUCAAGUCCUCCCUCAGCUCCAAAGGCGUAGGGUCCAAAACAUGAGCCGGGUCGUGGAUGUACUUCCGAAGGACCGAUACAUGGAACACAUUGUGUACACCCGAUAGGUUCGGCGGUAGAGCGAGUCGCUACGCUACCGGGCCUACACGCUCCAAAACCUCAAACGGUCCAAUGAAUCGGGGGCUCAACUUACCCCGGAUUCCAAAUCGUCUAAUCCCUCGAGUCGGCGAGACUUUCAAAAAGACAUGAUCUCCAAUCUGAAACUCCAAGUCUCGUCGACGCCGAUCAGUAUAACUUUUCUGCCUACUCUGGGCCGUCAAAAGUCGCUCUCGAGCAAUACGAACCUUAUCCUCUUCUUCCUGGAACACAUCAGGGCCUAAAGCCAAUCUCUCGCCAACUUCACUCCAAUGAAGUAGCGAUCUACACUUCCGUCCAUAUAGUGCCUCGAACGGUGCCAUCUUGAUGCUUGCUUGAUAACUGUUGUUAUAAGCAAACUCUGCCAUCAGUAGAUGCUGCGACCAUCCUCCCUGGAAGUCAAUCACGCAAGUUCGAAGCAUGUCCUCGAGAAUCUGUAUAGUACGCUCCGACUGCCCAUCACUCUAGGGGUGGAAAGUAGUGCUGAAAUCUAAGCGCGUACCCAAAGCAUCCUGUAAGCUCUUCCAAAAGUGAGAUACAAAACAGGGGUCUCGAUCUGAAACGAUAGAAGUAGGUACCCCGUGCAAUUGCACAAUCUCAUCCAAGUAUACCUGUGCGAGUCUCUCACCAGUCCAAGUGGUGUGGAUAGGUAUGAAAUGUGCCGAUUUCGUCAAUCUAUCCACGAUCACCCAAAUAGCAUCGUGCCCGGCCUGUGAGCGAGGCAGUCCCAUCACGAAAUCCAUGGUGAUCUUUUUCCACUUCCACACUGGAAUCGGUAGGCUCUGCAGCUUCCCCGCAGGAACUCGGUGCUCAGCCUUCACCUGUUGGCAAGUUAAACAUCUAGCCACAAACUCACCAACAUCCUUUUUCAUCCCAGGCCACCAGUAAAGCAACUUCAAGUCCUUGUACAUCUUGGUGCCUUCCGGAUGUAUAGCAUACGGUGCUCGGUGUGCUUCUUGAAGAAUGUCCUCUUUAAUGCCCAAGUCCGCCGGUACACAAAGUCGUCCGCGGAAACGCAUCAAUCCAUCACCAUCUAAAGUGAAGUCACCGGUGCAACCAUCGACCAUCUUAGCUCGAAUCUUUUGUAACUAUGAGUCGGAAGCUUGCUUUUCUUCAAUCCUCUCUAACAGUGUAGGUUGCACCACCAAAGUCAUCAGUCUCAAAGGUGUAUCAGGAGCCACCACCUCCAACUCCAACCGCUUCAUCUGCUCGAUCAACGGCGGUUGAGUAACCACAAGCAUCGCUAAGUUUUUCAUCAUUUUCCGGCUUAGCGCAUCCGCCACCACGUUAGCCUUGCCCGGGUGGUAAAGUAUCGUCAAAUCAUAAUCCUUGAGUAGCUCCAGCCAUCUGCGCUGCCUCAAGUUCAACUCCUUCUGAGUGAAGAGAUACUUUAAGCUUUUGUGAUCCGUAUAUACUUCGCAUCGUUUGCCAUAGAGGUAAUGGCGCCAUAGCUUCAAUGCAAAGACUACAGCCGCCAACUCCAAGUCGUGAGUAGGGUAAUUCCUUUCAUAAUCCUUCAAUUGGCGAGAUGCAUACGCGAUGAGUUUCCCGUCCUGCAUCAAAACACAGCCCAAUCCAUUAAGGGAAGCAUCACUAUAAAUCACAUACCCUGCUUCAGCAGUCGGCAAGGUAAGGAUUGGGGCGGUCGUCAACCUCUGCUUCAACUCUUGGAAGCUCCUUUCACACGCGUCGUUCCAAAAGAACUUAGUUCCCUUAUGCGUGAGCCUCGUGAGGGGAGUAGAUAAUUUAGCAAAUCCCUCGACAAACCGUCGGUAGUAGCCGGCCAAACCAAUGAAGCUCCGUAUCUCUGUCAGACUCGUUGGCCUCGGCCAAUCCUUGAUAGCUUCAAUUUUCCUUGGAUCUAUAGCUAUGCCUGAUCCUGAAAUCAAAUGGCCCAAAAACGCCACCUCUCUAAGCCAAAAUUCACACUUUUUCAAUUUGGCAUAGAGCUUCUUUUCCCGAAGCACUUGAAGUACAAGUCUCAAGUGUUCCUCGUGAUCCGCAUCACUUCGGGAAUAGACCAAAAUGUCGUCGAUGAACACCACGACAAAUCUAUCUAGGUAAGCUUGAAAACACGGUUCAUUAAAUCCAUAAAAGCUGCCGGGGCAUUAGUAAGCCCAAACGGCAUAACAGUGAACUCAUAGUGUCCAUACCGUGUUCUAAAAGCCGUUUUCGACACAUCCUCAGGUCUGAUCCUCAACUGGUGAUAUCCCGACUGCAAGUCAAUCUUGGAAUAUACACAAGAUCCCUGGAGCUGAUCAAAUAGAUCGUCAAUCCUCGGUAAUGGAUACUUAUUCUUAAUCAUGACUUUGUUAAGUUCACGAUAAUCCACGCACAAGCGAAGUGAUCCAUCCUUCUUCUUCACAAACAGAACCGGUGCUCCCCAAGGUGACACACUCGAUCUCACGAAACCCUUGUCCAGAAGAUCCUGCAACUGUGCCUUCAGCUCUUUCAAUUCUGCUGGUGCCAUCCUAUAGGGUGCCUUUGAGAUCGGAGUAGUCCCGGGAACGAGAUCUACCACAAACUCAAUCUCCCUAUCAGGUGGCAUGCCUGGAAGCUCCGUUGGAAACACAUCUCCAAAUUCCCGCACUACGGGGAUAUCCUCAAUCCUAGGGGUGUCAUCCACACCCCGCAACACAACAGUAGCCAAGUAGGCUACGCAGCCUCUACUAAUCAACUGCCGAGCUCGAGAAGAGCUAAUCGUCAUCGCAAAAAGCGAACUCUGGCAUCCUCGGUACACAACCUCCGCCUGCCCUGGCUCUCUAAAAGUCACCGUUCGAUCCUUACAAUCGAUAGUGGCGAAAUACUUAGUCAACCAAUCCAUGCCCAACACAACAUCAAACUACCCAAGUUUAUGCAAGGCUAGCAAAUCUAUAGGCAUGAUCCAAUCUCAAACCCGAAUGGGGCAACUAGGGCAAAACUCUCGAAUAUCCAAAGAGUGAUCGGGUACAGUAACUCGUCCCGGAUGCAACAAAGAUACUAGUGGGAUGCCAUGCAACUCGGCAAAUAGCCGGUCUAUGAAUGAAUGCGAUGCACCGGUAUAAAACAAAGCUCUAGCUCGAAUACCAUAAAGUAAGAUAAUACCUGCAACCACAUUCUCGGCUGCUGCCGCCUCCUCAGUCUGGGCCGCAUACAUGCGCCUGCUCGGGGCCUGUCGUGACCUCUCCACCUGCCGCUGAACUGGCGACCGCCCUGCCUGGUAAUGCGCAGAAGAUGUCCCCUGACUGGGACCUGACGAUACUGGUGCUGAUGCCGAAGAUGGCGCUGGCGCUGAACCUCUCGGGCAGUCCGAUUGGAAGUGGCCCGACUGCGUGAACACUGCCGCGGGUAGUGAGGACCGCCACAGAUCACGCAGCGGGGAGCCUGGCGACGAUCGGUUCCUCCUCGCUGAGUAGACUGGCCACGUCCUCGCGACUGGCUCCGACUCCUGGGGUGCCUCGGCGGCCUCCGUGAGUGCGUCUGGCUCGCACCCUCAGCCGCGGGUCUCUUUCCCUUGCCCUUAUCUAGGGCCUCGCGUCGCUCCUGAAGAUCUGCCGCUCCAGCCUCUACAAUGAGUGCACGGUCCACAACCUCCCGGUAGGUUUGGAGGUUGGAGGACUGCACCAAUCGAAAGAUCGAAGGCUGUAAUCCAUGCUCAAAGAUGCGGGCCUUGUCCUCGUCGUCCCGGACCACAAAAGGUACACAGUGGAGUAGCCGAGAAAACUCUCUUUCGUACUUGGCCACUGAUUGCUCGUCCUGCCGCAAAUUGCACAAAUCCUGCUCCAUCUUCCUCUUGGCGCUGGUCGGAAAGUAGUGCGCCAGAAGGAGCUCCUUGAACCUCGUCGAAGUAAUCGAUGUCAAGUCGCUCCUGGGGUUGUCCUGGAUAUCCAACCACCAACGGUAGGCCUCGCCGUCCAAGAAGUGAGUGGCGAGCCAAACUAUGUCCCGCUCCUCUACAAAGGUGUCUCGAAAAAGUUUCUCCAUAUGCAUCAACCACUUCUCAACAAUCCAGUGGUCGACGUUCUCGCCAUCAAACGUCCUCGGGUUGCACCUCCUGAACUCACUGAGGCGAUCCAUGAGCCGAUCCCGCUCGGCUCCCUUGGCCAUCACGGGGAAUGCCGCCUCUGUCGCCGGUCUCUGAACUGGUAGUGCUGCAGCCACCUCCUCCCGAGGUGCGGUCGCCGGUACCGCACGUGAAGAACUGGGCGCGGGGGACUGCGCCCUCGGUGCGACGUCCACCACGGGUGCUGGCGGUGUAGGACCCUGUGUCUCCCUCGAGGCUGCCGCCUGCUGAAGUAGGAGGUCCUCAAGAUGCUUCAUCCGCGCCUCCUGCCGCUGAGCCACCUCAGCCUGUCGCUGCGCCGCUGCCGUCUGCUGCGCCAACAAAUCAGUGAGGACCGCAAGCUGGGCCCUCAGGUCACGGACCUCACUAGAUCCGGAAGUAGCAGAGGUCUCGACCUCCUCGGGGUGUGCCGCAUCAUACGCCACGGCAGACUGGGAGCGAGUAAUCGGCAUCGUCGCUACAGAACAUAAAAGUGCAAGUUAGUAACCCGCACUAUCGAAUCCCCGCUCAAAUCGAUAAAACCCAAAUCAUGCGAAAGUCAAGAAGUGUCCUUCACUACUAACUCCCGAUGUUACGUUGUCGGCCGCCAACGUAACCCUCCUCGAAGUUAGAAGCCAUACACUCCGAUCAAACUCUAACCUUUUAGAGUUAUCAUAAACCCAAUCACAAUACUUUCACUCACAAGUCAUUAGUCCUCGUCUCUCACGAGCCUAAUUCCUAUAGUCCAACCGGCCUAAGGUUUGCUAGGUCCACUAAGACUCAACCCUAGGCUCUGAUACCAAAUUAAUCUGUCACGCCCCGGGACCGGCGGAGGCCCUCCCGGUAGCGUGCCCAGACCCGCCAUAUGUCUACACAUAUAAGGCGUCUACAACAAAAGCGGAAGUAAAGCAAGAGAUAGAACAAAUAAAAGAAGUGAAAUAACUAGCAACUAAUGAUAUCAGAGCAAGUAAAGUUCUAUCAUCUACACCAAAGUAAAGAAAUAAAGCUAGUCAAUAAAAGAAACCAUAAGUAGUACAAUAUCUAUCUCUAGUACAAAAAUGGUGGUCUCUAUACACUGGCAAAACCCUCAACCUCUCGCCAAAAAAAAUAAAUAUCGAGAGGUAGACCACCUAGCAACUCGUCCUCGAAGGAAGCUAGCUCGAAGCAACUCCCUUCC